UACGAAGGGGGCUAGCGUUGCUCGGAAUUACUGGGCGUAAAGCGUGCGCAGGCGGUUGGCAAAGUCAGCUGUGAAAGCCCCGGGCUUAACCUGGGAAUGGCGGUUGAAACUAGUCGACUAGAAUCUGGCAGAGGGGGGUGGAAUUCCACGUGUAGCAGUGAAAUGCGUAGAGAUGUGGAGGAAUACCGAUGGCGAAGGCAGCCCCCUGGGCCAAUACUGACGCUCAUGCACGAAAGCGUGGGGAGCAAACAGG
Molecule: ribosomal RNA, 253 nt
Filed under: uncultured bacterium
Lineage: Bacteria
Description: partial 16S ribosomal RNA
Rfam family: Bacterial small subunit ribosomal RNA
Source: RNAcentral